ACAUAUUCCAAGUAAGAAGUUUAUUUGAUCAAAUGACAAAAUAUGAAGAUAUUUUAAACUAUAAAGCUCUAUUCAGACAAAAUGUAAAUUUAUUAUAAAGUAAGAUAAUAUCCAUGUAAAUGGCACCUAAAAGCAGAAAGAAUGCAAUUCCUAUAAAUACUAUGUCUUUAUAAAGCAUUCACAAAAUUCUCAGGUACUUUAAAACUAGGUUGUAGGUAUAUUGGUAAACUCUCUAAAUAGUGCUUAAAGUGGGUUUCUUAAACUUCCCCUACAGUAUGUCAUGGGGGUCCUGUAAUGAUCAGAGUGUCAGUGAGAUGUGUCGUGAGUGUGGAACAAACUUGAGUUCCCCGCACAGU
Molecule: long non-coding RNA, 356 nt
Filed under: Bos taurus (domestic cattle)
Lineage: Eukaryota; Metazoa; Chordata; Mammalia; Artiodactyla; Bovidae
Description: long non-coding RNA NONBTAT025437
Source: RNAcentral